RNA transcript from Medicago truncatula (barrel medic), 1438 nucleotides. It is a transcript of the gene named BAG family molecular chaperone regulator 4, with no coding region annotated. The transcript is spliced from 5 exons. The record is from RefSeq and is a predicted model, not a curated record. NCBI's taxonomy places the organism in Eukaryota, Viridiplantae, Streptophyta, Magnoliopsida, Fabales, Fabaceae.
CAACCAAAGAUAUGUCCCUCGAGUCAAUCUCACAGUCCACAACAAAACCCAGUCAUUUUCCCUUUCACCAAACGCACCGUUUCUUUGCAUUUAACUCAACCGUCCCUUUUCAUGAACAACACCGCCGUCUCAGACACUUACGGCGCUUCGCCGCCGGAUACGAAAUCCGAAAUCGACGGAGUUGGUGGGCCCACAAUCAAGAUCAGUGUUUCGUACGGUUCAUCUCUUCACGAGAUCCAUCUCCCAGCCCAAUCCACUUUCGGAGAUUUAAAAAAAUUGCUUGUACCUAAAACUGGUUUAGAGCCUGAACAACAAAGACUUUUCUUCAGAGGAAUAGAAAAGGAUGAUAAGGAACAACUGCAUCAGGAAGGUGUAAAGGGUAAGUCGAAGAUUUUGCUUAUGGAGCGUGCUGCUAGCAAAGAGAAGAAACUUGAGGAAACUAGAAAACUCAAUGAGAUGUCUAAAGCUACUGAAGCUAUUAAUGGGGUUAGAGCCGAGGUGGACAAGCUCUCUGAUAGGGUGGCUGCCUUGGAAGCGGCUAUCAAUGCAGGGAAAAAAGCUUCUGAGAAAGAAUUUCUUUUGUUGACUGAGUUGCUUAUGAGUCAAUUGCUGAAACUAGAUGGAAUUGAGGCCGAAGGUGAAGCAAAGUUGCAGAGAAAAGCUGAGGUGCGUCGUGUGCAGGGCCUCGUGGAUAUGGUAGAUUCUCUAAAGGCUAGAAACUCCAACCCUUAUAGCCAAAGUGGCAAUCCUGCCACAGGAACAACCAAUUGGGAAACCUUUGAUACCGGAAUUGAAGGCUCGAAUGACGACCCAUCCACAACAUCAUCUUCUACAAAAGUAUCUGAAGAUUGGGAGCGGUUUGAUUAGCUUAAAAUUUCUGUGAAAUAUCAAAAUUAUAAAGAUUGUACAAUACCAUGUUGGCCUUCAUCCUUUGUCCAAGUAACAUAUGGUGAUACUUCAAUUUCAUCUGCUUUUGAUGAGGAUCCAUGCUUAGUUGGGUCAUACUUUUCUCCAUCACCCCAAAGUGCAUAAGCUUCCUCGCCGUGGACAGCAUCAUCACCAGUCUCGAGCUGGUCGUUCGACAUCCUCAACGGUAUGAACAAUUGUAUGGUGAGAAGAAUUAGUGUGGUGGAGACUAAGUUCCAUCCAGUGAUGAAAAGUGCUGCCACUAAUUGCUUCAAGAACUGAAUGCCGCCACCGCCCCCAUAGAAGGCACCCCUUGAGUUAGUCACCGGCAAUAUGAGUCUGCAAAGAUCUGGUUCUGCUAAGAGACCUGUGAGGAGGCCUCCUAAAAGGCCGGCCACAGCAUGUGUGUGAAACACUCCAAGGGUGUCAUCUACCUGUGUUAUUGUAUAUAGAUAAUUCAUAUAAUGCUAAGAAAACAUACAUAAGAUCAUAGUUGUAUGAGAAAUGAUAUUUGAACAACCAUUUUUUACAA